RNAcentral lists this ribosomal RNA (245 nucleotides) under uncultured bacterium. RNAcentral's name for it is "partial 16S ribosomal RNA". It matches the Rfam family "Bacterial small subunit ribosomal RNA", at positions 524 to 768 of the family's 1533-position model. The record is from RNAcentral.
UACGGAGGUGGCGAGCGUUACUCGGAUUUAUUGGGUGUAAAGGGCAGGUAGGUGGCCUCAUAAGUGAGGGGUGAAAUCCUCCGACUUAAUCGGAGAAUUGCCUUUCAAACUAUAAGGCUUGAGUAUGGAAGAAGAGAAUGGAAUUCCCGGUGUAAGGGUGAAAUCUGCAGAUAUCGGGAGGAACACCAGUUGCGAAAGCGAUUCUCUAGUCCAUGUCUGACACUGAACUGCGAAAGCUAGGGGAG